CCUACGGGCGGCAGCAGUGGGGGAUAUUGCACAAUGGGGGAAACCCUGAUGCAGCGACGCCGCGUGGGUGAAGAAGCGCCUCGGCGCGUAAAGCCCUGUCAGCAGGGAAGAAAAUGACGGUACCUGAAGAAGAAGCCCCGGCUAACUACGUGCCAGCAGCCGUGGUAAUACGUAGGGGGCACGCGUUAUCCGGAUUUACUGGGGUUAAAGGGGGCGCAGACGGCGAUGCAGGCCAGGAGUGAAAGCCCGGGGGCCAACCCCGGGACUGCUCUUGGAACUGCGUGGCUAGAGUGCAGGAGGGGCAGGCGGAAUUCCUGGUGUAGCGGUGAAAUGCGUAGAUAUCAGGAGGAACACCGAUGGCGAAGGCGGCCUGCUGGACUGCAACUGACGUUGAGGCCCGAAAGCGUGGGGAGCAAACAGGAUUAGAUACCCGUGUAGUC
Molecule: ribosomal RNA, 440 nt
Filed under: uncultured bacterium
Lineage: Bacteria
Description: partial 16S ribosomal RNA
Rfam family: Bacterial small subunit ribosomal RNA
Source: RNAcentral